GCGGAGGGCCGGAUGGCCGCGGCAUCAGCAAUGGCGCCGAGGAAAGUCCGGACUCCACAAGACAACGGUGCCGGGUAAUGCCCGGCCGGGGUAACCCGAGGGAAAGCGCCACAGAGAACAGACUUCCCCUGCGCGACAGGGGUAAAGGUGAAACGGUGGGGUAAGAGCCCACCGCGGGGCUGGCAACAGCACCGGCACGGCAAGCCCCACCGGGAGCAAUGCCAAAUAGGGAUCGCACAUGGGCUGUCUUGGCCUCGCAGAUCCGGGUUGGCAGCUUGAGGCGUGUUGGCAACAGCGCGUCCAGAUGAAUGGUCAUCCAGCUUCGGGCCACGGCCCGGGGUGGACAGAAUCCGGCUUACAGGCCCUCCGCGCAU
RNAcentral lists this RNase P RNA (374 nucleotides) under Roseovarius faecimaris. Its description in RNAcentral is "Bacterial RNase P class A". It matches the Rfam family "Bacterial RNase P class A". From Rfam's summary of the family: Ribonuclease P (RNase P) is a ubiquitous endoribonuclease, found in archaea, bacteria and eukarya as well as chloroplasts and mitochondria. Its best characterised activity is the generation of mature 5'-ends of tRNAs by cleaving the 5'-leader elements of precursor-tRNAs. Lineage: Bacteria; Pseudomonadati; Pseudomonadota; Alphaproteobacteria; Rhodobacterales; Roseobacteraceae. The record is from Rfam by way of RNAcentral.